Molecule: RNA transcript, 2324 nt
Organism: Triticum aestivum (bread wheat)
Lineage: Eukaryota; Viridiplantae; Streptophyta; Magnoliopsida; Poales; Poaceae
Exons: 8
Source: RefSeq, a predicted model, not a curated record
CUGCAGCCUGGCUGCGCCUUCGCGAGCCUCCCACACCUGCCCCCAUCACUCCUUGCUUUCCGGCGAUAUCCGGGGGGGCAGCGCUCUCGCAGACGCGCGUCCACCACGCGGCGCCCCCUGCUCCGCGUCCCCCGCUGCGAUGACGACACGCACGGUCGGAAUCUUCUGGUGGUAACGCCCGACGACUGGCGCGUGGCGUGCAGCGUGAGGAGACCCUGCAACAAGCCAUGCUUGCCCGGAUGGGCGGAGAUCGAGCAGGAGUGGAUUCUGUGGUGCACCAGGAUGAGGGUGCCCACGAAUCUUACCUUGUCACGGCCGGCUCUCCUCUCUCCCUCCGCGUUAUGCAUUGGUAGCUUUGUUGGAUUGGCAACGCCGGUGAAGUUCGAUAUUGGAGGUAAGCAAAAAUCUCGAGGGAGUAUAUACAAGGCUAGCUAGAUGAGUAGUAUCGAUAUACGGUUAGGAUUAGGGGUUGUUUGGAUUGGGUACGGAGUUUUUGCCAAUUCUGUUUCCCGUAAACUCAUUUGAAGGGCUAAUCACCUGAAAUUUGCGGAAUUGAUAACUUCCGAACGCACUGCGCUUUGUGUUUCGAUCCGAACGUGUUCUGUACCGUUAGAUCAAUUGGCGUGGAUCUUGAAGCAUGUGCUUGACACGUCAUGUUUCUCGUUCGUUCGUUCCAGGAACUCCUCGGCCCGAACGAACGCCUUAUCCUCUCCACCGUCACUUUUUCCUUCUGGGCUUCUUUUCCCCAUCCCCAUCGUCUUCACUGAGAGAGAGAGAGAGAGAGUCGAGCUGGAGCAGCCGCGCCUUGCCGCCGCUCACCGGUGAGGCCUCGCGGCGCCCCAUCGGUGGCUUAGAUUUCGGGGAGGCGCUCGAGGGGAGCGACGGCGGCGGAGACCUGGGAGGCGGCGGAGGUGCUGCUCGCAGGAAGUGGCGGUGGCGGCGGCUGCCACACCAGCGGAGCUGUCCAAUGCCGCAGCAGGGCCUACCACGGCACCGGCAAGCUGCCUGCACUGCAAGCGGGGAGCGACGCCGGCGGCGACUUGGGAGGCAGCAGAGGUGCUGCUAGCAGGGAGCGGCGGCGGCGGCGACCGACCCUCCAGUGGAGCUAUUCAACGCCGCAGCGGGGCCCUACAACGGCUUCGGCACGUUGCCUGCGCAGGGGCCUACCACAGCGCCGCGAUUUCCUCUGGCUUGUCGACAAGGUGCGGCUCUUCUUGGCGCGGCCGAGGACGAUGGUCAUGGGCAACGUGCCAGAGACGCCCAUCUACCGGUGGAUGGACCAGUACACGACGUGCUCGACGGCACCCUUCGCGAGAAGAUCACCCGGUGGAUUGACGACGACGACGAACGAACCUCGUCCUCAACAUGUGUGAGCGAUUGGCAGCAUCGACACCAGUGGUACGAGUAUGCAUUUCGACAUGGCAAAUUUUGUGUGGAAGAUGCUUAAACAGGUGCAUCUUUGACCAAGUAUAGGACGGGCAGAUGUCGCGAAAGGAAUACUCAUGGUUUCUGAAGACUGACUAUGCUCCCUCGAGUACUACGCAGCAACAAACUCAGGAUAACUCAGUCGAGAACUUUAAAAGAGCAAACAAGAUUCUGGCUUUGGAGUCUGAGCCGGUUCAAAUAUGGGAUUUCUCUGCGCGAACAACCUUCAUAUGGAUGAAUGAAUGGAACCGUAUGCCCCAAGAUCCUCGGUCUAAGAUCCUCGGCCUUCUGACCAGGAGGUGAGGAUGGUGGCAGGAGGAUGUACCUGCGGCGUGAGGAGAUGGGUGCAGGAACAGCCGGCGCACGGAGGUGGCUGGUUCCGACGGCCUCAGGUGAGGAUGGUGGCAGGAGGAUGUACCUGCGGCGUGACGAGAUGGGUGCAGGAACAGACGGCCUUGGUGAGCAACACCAUGAGAGGAGAUGGGUGCAGGAACAGACGGCCUUGGUGAGCAACACCAUGAGACGGGAGCAGAGGUUGCUGGUUCCGGCGUGGCCGGACUGGUUCCGUUCCGGCGGAUGUGGCCGGAGGGCGAGUAUGGGUCCAGCGAGAGGAAAAACUGGCGUUCCUGGUGACGUGCGAUGACGGCUCGAUGGAGCUUCCGCACUUGUUUCUUUGUUUGGUUUGGCUGGGAUGUGUCUUUUUUUUGGUUUGUUUUUUUGGUCAAUGCAUGGAGUACUGUUGUUUUUCUUUGGCCGGUGAGUGAUCGUGGUACUGUUGUUUUUCUUUGGCCGGUGCGUGAUCGUGGAUUGAGUCGUAACUGUUGUUUUUCUUUGGCCGGUGCGUGAUCGUGGGCUGAGUUGGUGGAGAUGUAUCUGAUCGUGGGCUGAGUUGGUGGCGA